This 391-nucleotide unclassified non-coding RNA is filed under the name soil metagenome. RNAcentral describes it as "partial contains 5.8S ribosomal RNA, internal transcribed spacer 2, and large subunit ribosomal RNA". The stretch from base 1 to 122 matches the Rfam family "5.8S ribosomal RNA", at positions 35 to 154 of the family's 154-position model. The record is from RNAcentral.
GAUGAAGAACGUAGUGAAAUGCGAUACUUGGUGUGAAUUGCAGAAUCCCGUGAACCAUCGAGUCUUUGAACGCAAGUUGCGCCUGAAGCCAUUAGGCCGAGGGCACGCCUGCCUGGGCGUCACACGUCGUUGCCCCCCCAUCUACUCCUUCGGGAUUGCGGGGGGCGGAUGAUGGCCUCCCGUGCGCCUCGUCGCGCGGUUGGCAUAAAUGCCAAGUCCUCGGCGACGCACGCCACGACAAUCGGUGGUUGCGAAACCUCGGUUGCCCGUCGUGUGCGGUCGUCGCGCAUCGAGGGCUCGAAAAAAUUGCCGGGCUCCGGCUCGGCUUUCAACGCGACCCCAGGUCAGGCGGGGUUACCCGCUGAAUUUAAGCAUAUCAAUAAGCGGAGGA